RNAcentral lists this ribosomal RNA (451 nucleotides) under uncultured bacterium. RNAcentral describes it as "bacterial SSU rRNA". It matches the Rfam family "Bacterial small subunit ribosomal RNA", at positions 354 to 796 of the family's 1533-position model. The record is from RNAcentral.
GUCGGGAAUUUUGGGCAAUGGGGGAAACCCUGACCCAGCAACGCCGCGUGAGGGAUGAAGGCCUUCGGGUCGUAAACCUCUGUCGAGAGGGAAGAAUGAUCUCUGGUCGAACAGGCCAGGGGUUUGACGGUACCUCCAAAGGAAGCACCGGCUAACUCCGUGCCAGCAGCCGCGGUAAUACGGAGGGUGCAAGCGUUGUUCGGAAUUACUGGGCGUAAAGCGCGUGUAGGCGGCUUGGCAAGUCGGGUGUGAAAUCCCGGGGCUCAACCCCGGAACUGCAUUCGAAACUGCCUGGCUGGAGUCCCGGAGAGGGUGGUGGAAUUCCCAGUGUAGAGGUGAAAUUCGUAGAUAUUGGGAGGAACACCAGUGGCGAAGGCGGCCACCUGGACGGUGACUGACGCUGAGACGCGAAAGCGUGGGGAGCAAACAGGAUUAGAUACCCCAGUAGUCC